Molecule: ribosomal RNA, 495 nt
Filed under: uncultured bacterium
Lineage: Bacteria
Description: partial 16S ribosomal RNA
Rfam family: Bacterial small subunit ribosomal RNA
Source: RNAcentral
GAUGAACGCUGGCGGCGUGCUUAACACAUGCAAGUCGAGCGAAGCACUUUUGCGGAUUUCUUCGGAUUGAAGCAACUGUGACUGAGCGGCGGACGGGUGAGUAACGCGUGGGUAACCUGCCUCAUACAGGGGGAUCACAGUUGGACACGGCUGCUAAUACCGCAUAAGCGCACAGUACCGCAUGGUACGGUGUGAAAAACUCCGGUGGUAUGAGAUGGACCCGCGUCUGAUUAGGUAGUUGGUGGGGUAACGGCCUACCAAGCCGACGAUCAGUAGCCGACCUGAGAGGGUGACCGGCCACAUUGGGACUGAGACACGGCCCAAACUCCUACGGGAGGCAGCAGUGGGGAAUAUUGCACAAUGGGGGAAACCCUGAUGCAGCGACGCCGCGUGAGCGAUGAAGUAUUUCGGUAUGUAAAGCUCUAUCAGCAUGGAAGAAAAUGACGGUACCUGACUAAGAAGCCCCGGCUAACUACGUGCCAGCCGCCGCCGUAA